GACGAACGCUGGCGGCGUGCUUAACACAUGCAAGUCGAACGGAAAGGCCUGCUUUCCCUUGUGGAUUGCGGGUACUCGAGUGGCGAACGGGUGAGUAACACGUGAGUGAUCUGCCCCCAACUUGGGUAUAAGCCUGGGAAACUGGGUCUAAUUCCCGAUAGGACUGCAGGGUGGUGCCUGUGGUGGAAAACGAUUUUCUAGUGGUUGGGGAUGAGCUCGCGGCCUAUCAGCUUGUUGGUGGGGUAAUGGCCUACCAAGGCGGCGACGGGUAGCCGGCCUGUGAGGGUGGACGGCCACAUUGGGACUGAGAUACGGCCCAGACGACUACGGGAGGCAGGAGUGGGGAAUAUUGCACAAUGGGCGGAAGCCUGAUGCAGCGACGCCGCGUGGGGGAUGACGGCCUUCGGGUUGUAAACUCCUUUCGACCGCGAGGAAGCCACCUGGUUGGAAGGGUGGUGACGGUAGUGGUAGAAGAAGCACCGGCUAACUACGUG
This 494-nucleotide ribosomal RNA is filed under the name uncultured bacterium. RNAcentral describes it as "partial 16S ribosomal RNA". It matches the Rfam family "Bacterial small subunit ribosomal RNA", at positions 28 to 507 of the family's 1533-position model. The record is from RNAcentral.